RNAcentral lists this ribosomal RNA (391 nucleotides) under uncultured bacterium. Its description in RNAcentral is "bacterial SSU rRNA". It matches the Rfam family "Bacterial small subunit ribosomal RNA", at positions 28 to 407 of the family's 1533-position model. The record is from RNAcentral.
GACGAACGCUGGCGGCGUGCUUAACACAUGCAAGUCGAGCGGUAAGGCCCUUCGGGGUACACGAGCGGCGAACGGGUGAGUAACACGUGGGUGACCUGCCCCCUACUCUGGGAUAAGCCUGGGAAACUAGGGUCUAAUACCGGAUAUGACCUGCUGUCGCAUGAUGGUGGGUGGGAAAGUUUGUUCUUAAUUGGACACUUCGGUGGGGGAUGGGCCCGCGGCCUAUCAGCUUGUUGGUGGGGUGAUGGCCUACCAAGGCGACGACGGGUAGCCGGCCUGAGAGGGCGACCGGCCACACUGGGACUGAGACACGGCCCAGACUCCUACGGGAGGCAGCAGUGGGGAUAUUGCGCAAUGGGCGGAAGCCUGACGCAGCGACGCCGCGUGGGGA